This 70-nucleotide transfer RNA is filed under the name Lucasium damaeum (beaded gecko). RNAcentral describes it as "tRNA-His". Lineage: Eukaryota; Metazoa; Chordata; Lepidosauria; Squamata; Diplodactylidae. The record is from RNAcentral.
GCAGACAUAGUCUAAUAUAUCACGCUGGCUUGUGACACCAGUAAUAGGAAAUCAUAUCUCCUUGUCUACC